Molecule: ribosomal RNA, 253 nt
Filed under: uncultured bacterium
Lineage: Bacteria
Description: partial 16S ribosomal RNA
Rfam family: Bacterial small subunit ribosomal RNA
Source: RNAcentral
UACGGGGGGGGCAAGCGUUGUUCGGAAUUAUUGGGCGUAAAGGGUUCGUAGGUGGCCGGCUAAGUCAGACGUGAAAUCCCUCAGCUUAACUGGGGAACUGCGUCUGAGACUGGUCGGCUUGAGUUUGGGAGAGGGAUGCGGAAUUCCAGGUGUAGCGGUGAAAUGCGUAGAUAUCUGGAGGAACACCGGUGGCGAAGGCGGCAUCCUGGACCAACACUGACACUGAGGAGCGAAAGCCAGGGGAGCAAACGGG